This 465-nucleotide ribosomal RNA is filed under the name uncultured bacterium. Its description in RNAcentral is "bacterial SSU rRNA". It matches the Rfam family "Bacterial small subunit ribosomal RNA", at positions 329 to 792 of the family's 1533-position model. The record is from RNAcentral.
GUCCAGACUCCUACGGGAGGCAGCAGUGAGGAGUAUUGGUCAAUGGUCGGGAGACUGAACCAGCCAAGCCGCGUGAGGGAUGAAGGUACAGAGUAUCGUAAACCUCUUUUGUCAGGGAACAAAGGCGGGGACGUGUCCCCGGAUGAGUGUGCCUGAAGAAAAAGCAUCGGCUAACUCCGUGCCAGCAGCCGCGGUAAUACGGAGGAUGCGAGCGUUAUCCGGAUUUAUUGGGUUUAAAGGGUGCGUAGGCGGGCUGUUAGGUCGGCGGGAAAAUGUGGGGCCCCACCCCCGGCCUGCCGUUGAAACUGGCGGCCUCGAGUGGGCGAGAAGUAUGCGGAAUGCGUGGUGUAGCGGUGAAAUGCAUAGAUAUCACGCAGAACUCCGAUUGCGAAGGCAGCAUACCGGCGCCCGACUGACGCUGAGGCACGAAAGCGUGGGUAUCGAACAGGAUUAGAUACCCGUGUA